GAUGAACGCUAGCUACAGGCUUAACACAUGCAAGUCGAGGGGCAGCAUGGUCUUAGCUUGCUAAGGCCGAUGGCGACCGGCGCACGGGUGAGUAACACGUAUCCAACCUGCCGUCUACUCUUGGACAGCCUUCUGAAAGGAAGAUUAAUACAAGAUGGCAUCAUGAGUCCGCAUGUUCACAUGAUUAAAGGUAUUCCGGUAGACGAUGGGGAUGCGUUCCAUUAGAUAGUAGGCGGGGUAACGGCCCACCUAGUCUUCGAUGGAUAGGGGUUCUGAGAGGAAGGUCCCCCACAUUGGAACUGAGACACGGUCCAAACUCCUACGGGAGGCAGCAGUGAGGAAUAUUGGUCAAUGGGCGAGAGCCUGAACCAGCCAAGUAGCGUGAAGGAUGACCGCCCUAUGGGUUGUAAACUUCUUUUAUAAAGGAAUAAAGUCGGGUAUGGAUACCCGUUUGCAUGUACUUUAUGAAUAAGGAUCGGCUAACUCCGUGCCAGCAGCCGCGGUAAUACGGAGGAUCCGAGCGUUAUCCGGAUUUAUUGGGUUUAAAGGGAGCGUAGAUGGAUGUUUAAGUCAGUUGUGAAAGUUUGCGGCUCAACCGUAAAAUUGCAGUUGAUACUGGAUAUCUUGAGUGCAGUUGAGGCAGGCGGAAUUCGUGGUGUAGCGGUGAAAUGCUUAGAUAUCACGAAGAACUCCGAUUGCGAAGGCAGCCUGCUAAGCUGCAACUGACAUUGAGGCUCGAAAGUGUGGGUAUCAAACAGGAUUAGAUACCCUGGUAGUCCACACGGUAAACGAUGAAUACUCGCUGUUUGCGAUAUACAGCAAGCGGCCAAGCGAAAGCGUUAAGUAUUCCACCUGGGGAGUACGCCGGCAACGGUGAAACUCAAAGGAAUUGACGGGGGCCCGCACAAGCGGAGGAACAUGUGGUUUAAUUCGAUGAUACGCGAGGAACCUUACCCGGGCUUAAAUUGCAGAUGAAUUACGGUGAAAGCCGUAAGCCGCAAGGCAUCUGUGAAGGUGCUGCAUGGUUGUCGUCAGCUCGUGCCGUGAGGUGUCGGCUUAAGUGCCAUAACGAGCGCAACCCUUGUUGUCAGUUACUAACAGGUUCCGCUGAGGACUCUGACAAGACUGCCAUCGUAAGAUGUGAGGAAGGUGGGGAUGACGUCAAAUCAGCACGGCCCUUACGUCCGGGGCUACACACGUGUUACAAUGGGGGGUACAGAGGGCCGCUACCACGCGAGUGGAUGCCAAUCCCCAAAACCUCUCUCAGUUCGGACUGGAGUCUGCAACCCGACUCCACGAAGCUGGAUUCGCUAGUAAUCGCGCAUCAGCCACGGCGCGGUGAAUACGUUCCCGGGCCUUGUACACACCGCCCGUCAAGCCAUGGGAGCCGGGGGUACCUGAAGUGCGUAACCGCGAGGAGCGCCCUAGGGUAAAACUGGUGACUGGGGCUAAG
RNAcentral lists this ribosomal RNA (1453 nucleotides) under uncultured organism. RNAcentral describes it as "16S ribosomal RNA". It matches the Rfam family "Bacterial small subunit ribosomal RNA". The record is from RNAcentral.